GGUUAAGCAAGAAAGGGCGCAGGGUGGAUGCCUUGGCACUAAGAGCCGAUGAAAGACGUGAUAAGCUGCGAAAAGCUACGGGGAGCUGCAAAUAAGCAUUGAUCCGUAGAUAUCUGAAUGGGGAAACCCGGCUGGCACAGCCAGUCACCGUAUACUGAAUCCAUAGGUAUACGGAGGGAACCCGGUGAACUGAAACAUCUAAGUAGCCGGAGGAAGAGAAAACAAAAGUGAUUCCGUAAGUAGCGGCGAGCGAACGCGGAAGAGCCCAAACCAGAGAGCUUGCUCUUUGGGGUUCGGACUGUAUAAUCGAUGGAAGUUGCUAGUAGAAAGGGAAUGGAAAGUCCCUGCCAGAGAGAGUGAAAGCCUCGUAUACGAAAGCGACUGAAGCGAGACAGUAUCCAGAGUAGGACGAGACACGUGAAACCUUGUCUGAACGCGCGGGGACCACCCCGUAAGGCUAAAUACUCCUUAGUGACCGAUAGCGCAUAGUACCGUGAGGGAAAGGUGAAAAG
This 512-nucleotide non-coding RNA is filed under the name Haemonchus placei. Its description in RNAcentral is "Bacterial large subunit ribosomal RNA". It matches the Rfam family "Bacterial large subunit ribosomal RNA", at positions 1 to 521 of the family's 2925-position model. The record is from Rfam by way of RNAcentral. Lineage: Eukaryota; Metazoa; Nematoda; Chromadorea; Rhabditida; Trichostrongylidae.